AGAGCGGCAGCGCGGGCCCGGGGGGGAGGGGGGGGCAGUUGGAUCGCCGCGCCGCCUCCUGCAACGUGCGCGACCCGGAGCAAGUGGCUGCACCUGAGCCGGAUCUCUAAAAAAGGGAGUCUCGGGCCACACGCCUCGCUGAGCAUCCCAGGCCCUUUUGGAGGCGCCGAAAGAAAGCAGAGGUGCACGGGACAGGAGGAUGCCCCCAGAGCUACCUGCUGCAGCGUAGCUGUGGGGACCACACAGCCAGUUGAAAGCAGAGGAUGUGAGGGAGGACUCCAAAGUGGAAGAAGCCUGAAUCCUCUCCCAGGACAAUCCAUUGAAGUAUCCAACAAGACUGUCUCAGGGAGAAAAUAAACCUGUAUGGUCGUUAGCUACUAAGAGGCUGAACAAAGGCCCAGCAGAUCGGUUCGUUUGUGCUGAAAGAAGCACUGACCCAGCGUCUUCAGGGCUGAGGAGGAGGUGCGGCCAAAAGAAUGGAAAUAAUGGUUAAUAACAGAUGCUGAGAUGAUUCUUCUCACACCCUUGGCCUCUGAGACUCUGCUGAACCCGUCCUCUACAACUUUCUAGCAGAAAUCUCCAGGGAAUGAGCUGAGAAGAACUCCAGAAGAUCUUAACAACAAAUUGCAACAAUCCAGGACUUUACAGUUUAUAAAGCAGAAAGGAAUCCAGGGAACGAGGCAGAUGUAGCCACCCAGUCUGAGACAGCAUUGGAUGGGGGAGCCCCGUGGAGGAACAGAGAAAACAUUUGUGUUGCCAGAGGGAAGAAAGGAAGGACAGCACUGAGCCAUCAAUCAAUGAAUCCUCCUUCUCUGGGAAAUAGCGAGACGGGGGACAGAGAGCAGCUGAGACGUUGGUGUGGUGGAUCUCCUGCCACAUGGAAACGUGAAGGCAGAAAAAAAAGGAUGUUCUCCACCAAUAGACACCUUGACAAAUGUGAGGACCUGGUCAAGGUUCCUCCCCCAGACACAACUUUUUGGCAAAGAUGACAAUUCUUUGAAUUGGAAAGCAGAACUUGAUUUUGAAGGAACGUUUACCAUCAGGCAUAGCUGCAACGAUACUGAUAACCCUCGGGCCACAUUAGAGGUAGAUAAACGGAGACUCAAAUACUGUCCCCAUUAUUGCUUGGAUCACCACAACGACAUCACCUGCCAAGAACACGACACCUUCUGUCCAACAGCAGACAAGACCUGUGUCACUAAAGGACAGUGCAUUGAGGGGCGAUUAGCAUUAUGAAUUUCAAACCUGAUCCUUUAUAAGUUUCCUCUCUUGGUUAUGUGGCAGACUGGGUUUCUCUGGGCUCUGCACUCUCUCUGCUCCUUCCCAUUGUCAACCCUGGAAAGAGAUGAGAAGCCAAAAGAAUGAGAACUCACCGUCGUAAGUAAGCCUCCAGAAUUACCUCUUCUGGAGCAUAGACGUCCCAUAGUCAGUGCUCGCACUUUCCUGUAAAGGAGCACAUGGCUGAGAUUCUCCAGUCCACAAACUUGCAAGUCGAGACCAGCGUUCUCCAAUGGAAACAGAAUGCAGACCACAUACGUAAUUUACAGUUUUCUAGGCCAUUUUAAUGAGCGUAAAAAGAAACAAGUGAAAUCAGUGUUAAUAACAAUUUUACUUGAACCAGUAUUUCCAAAAUAUUAUCAUUUCAACAUGCCAUAUAAAAUUAUUAAUGAAAAAAUGUUUUUAAAUAAAUAAAAAUUUAAAAAAAUAAAAUUAUUUUUUUUUCAUCCUACGUCUUUAAAAUCCGGCAUGUAUUUUAUGCUUACAGCAUAUCUCAAUUUGACCUUGCCACGUUGCAAGUGCUCAACAGCCGCAUGUGGCUAGCUGCCACCGCAUUGGACAGUGGAGGCUUGCGUACCACGUGGUCAGAACUCUGGAUUUUUCUCUAUCCUACUUCACACACAUGGUCUAGUUCUUGGGCUGGCUUCUUCAUGGCUGUGUGAGGACUUCCCAUCAAAACCAGAGCGAUGUAUUUCUAGCUCGCGAUGAACAGGACUGAGACUCUGGCAAACAUCUUCCAAUGUCUCACUGACCCAUAUCACCCUAGACCUGCUGUCCUUGAACCAAUCAUGGGCAAAAGGCACAAGAUUGCCGUGAUCGCAUAGAAUAAUCAGAGGCUUGGUGCUGGCAUCACUUCCUUGAGUCUCACAGCUAUUAAUCAGUAGGGGAGGAAGGUAAUGGAAGUUGAGGCGCCAACCCCAAAGUCUAUAUUAGGGUAGGUUCUGGCCCCCAGGACUACCGUCCAGAGUGCUCAAAAUUUUCUCCGUGAUCCCCGGGAACAGCGAACACAAUUCCUUGGUGUGGCACCUUUAAUGACCUUCCCCACAAAGGAGUGAAAAGCUCAUUAAUAGGCCAGCUCGGGUG
Canis lupus familiaris (dog) is the source of this 2361-nucleotide long non-coding RNA. RefSeq lists it as uncharacterized. NCBI's taxonomy places the organism in Eukaryota, Metazoa, Chordata, Mammalia, Carnivora, Canidae. The record is from RefSeq and is a predicted model, not a curated record. The transcript is spliced from 6 exons.